Molecule: ribosomal RNA, 1518 nt
Filed under: Coccidioides immitis RMSCC 3703
Lineage: Eukaryota; Fungi; Ascomycota; Eurotiomycetes; Onygenales; Onygenaceae
Description: eukaryotic LSU rRNA
Rfam family: Eukaryotic large subunit ribosomal RNA
Source: RNAcentral
UCCAUGGUAAUGUAACUGAAUACAGAGAUGUUGGCAGGAGUCCUGGAGAGUUCUCUUUCUUCUUGAUGAUCUAUCAUUCUGAAAUCAGUUUGUCUGAAGCUAGGGUUCAUGGCCAGCAGAGCCCCACAUCUUUGUGGGGUCUGGUAUACUUCUGAUGACUCUUGAAAAUCUGUGGAAAGGAAUAGUUUUCAUGCCAGAUUGUACUUAUAACUGCAGCAGGUCUCCAAGAUGAAAAGCCUCUAGUUGAUAGAACAAUGUAGAUAAGAGAAGUUGGCAAAAUAGAUCUGUAACUUUGGGAAAAGGAUUGGCUCUAAGAAUCAGGCACAUUGGGUCUUAGGGGAAAACCUCUGAAGCAGAAGGGCACUAGCCAGGCAACUGGCAGGUGCCUUCCAGCAUCAGAGUGCAGAUGCCCUUGGCAGGCUUCAGCUGUCUGGUGUGUGAUUAACAACCAACUUAGAACUGGUAGAGACAAGGGGAAUCUGACUGUCUAAUUAAAAUAUAGCAUUGUGAUGGCCAGAAAGUGGUGUUGAUGCAAUGUGAUUUCUGUCCAGUGCUCUGAAUGUCAAAGUGAAGAAAUUCAAUCAAGCAUGGGUAAAUGCCAGAAGUAACUAUAACUCUCUUAAGAUAGUCAAAUGCCUUGUCAUCUAAUUAGUGACAUGCAUGAAUGAAUUAACAAGAUUCCUACUGUCCCUAUCUACUAUCUAGUGAAAUCACAGCCAAGGGAAUGAGCUUGACAAAAUCAGUGGGGAAAGAAGACUCUGUUGAGCUUGACUCUAGUUUGACAUUGUAAAAAGACAUAUUGGGUGUAGAAUAGGUGGGAGCUUUGGUGCCAGUGAAAUAUCACUACCUUUAUUGUUUUUUUACUUAUUCAAUAAAGCAGAACUGGGCUUUACCACCCAACUUCUAGUGUUAAGGUUCUUUGUGGGCUGAUCUGGAUUGAAGACAUUAUCAGAUGGGGAGUUUGGCUGGAGCAGCACAUCUGUUAAAUCAUAAUGCAGAUGUUCUAAGAGAAACUCAUGGAGAAUAGAAAUCUCCAGUAGAACAAAAGAGUAAAAGUUCUCUUGAUUUUGAUUUUCAGUAUGAAUACAAAUCAUGAAAGUGUGGUCUAUUGAUUCUUUAAUCCCUCAAAAUUUAAGGCUAGAGGUGCCAGAAAAGUUACCACAGGGAUAACUGACUUGUGACAGUCAAGUAUUUAUAGUGAUGUUGCUUUUUGAUCCUUUGAUGUCAGCUCUUUCUAUUAUACUGAAGCAGAAUUUGAUAAGUGUUGGAUUGUUCACCUACUAAUAGAGAAUGUGAGCUGGAUUUAGAUCAUUGUGAGACAGAUUAGUUUUACCCUACUGAUGAAGGUUACUGCAAUGGUAAUUCAAUUUAGUACAAGAGGAAUCAUUGAUUCAGAUAAUUGGUUUUUGGGGCUGUCUGACCAGGCAGUGCUGUGAAGCUACCAUCUGCUGGAUUAUGACUGAAUGCCUCUAAGUCAGAAUCUGUACCAGAAUGUGGUGAUGUUACCCUGCAUGUUGU